CUCGUAGGCGGCCAACUAAGUCAGACGUGAAAUCCCUCGGCUUAACCGGGGAACUGCGUCUGAUACUGGAUGGCUUGAGGUUGGGAGAGGGAUGCGGAACUCCAGGUGUAGCGGUGAAAUGCGUAGAUAUCUGGAGGAACACCGGUGGCGAAGGCGGCAUCCUGGACCAAUUCUGACGCUGAGGAGCGAAAGCCAGGGGAGCAAACG
This 207-nucleotide ribosomal RNA is filed under the name uncultured bacterium. Its description in RNAcentral is "partial 16S ribosomal RNA". It matches the Rfam family "Bacterial small subunit ribosomal RNA", at positions 568 to 774 of the family's 1533-position model. The record is from RNAcentral.